AUAGUGGCUGACACCCACCAAAUUCCCAUAGAUGUCCACGUCUGCCCCUUCAGGCUCUGCUCCAGCAUCUGGGCACGUCCAGCUGCCAGCCUCCCCCAAGCUCCAAAUCAUUCACCUUCUCCUAAGCUGGAACCACUCAGAUCUGGGGUAAGAAUGCUGGAUUAAAUUCUAGAUGAUCUGAAGCCUCACCACUUACUUGCUGUAUGAUUUGGGCCAAGCCUAUCUCUCUGAGCUGCAAAUCAUCUGGAAAGAGCUAGAGAAGAAGCACCAGGCGUCUGAAUCUGCUCUGUCCUCGACAAGACUACAGCCGACAUGUGAGUCAAACCCUGAGAGAACAUUAGGAGCACACUAAAUGAUUGAUGAGGCUGGAGCUUGGUCCUAGAAAAAACAUAAAAUCUUGACUUUCUGGGUCCGGGUCAACAGGAGUUAGUGAGAAGACAAAGCAUGGAACUCGGGUAAGGAAUUGACCUGGUGAAUUCUCCUACUGUUAACCUACUUGUGCACUUUCAUAAAAGCAAGUGCUUCCAUUGGUCUUCAAGUUAAUUUCCAAGUUGGUGCCAUGCCUAGUUAUGUAUUCCAACGUUUAGCCUUAGGAAACAUUUGCAGACUUGCAUUUUAUACACGGUCCAGGGCAAGGGUUUUAGAAUCACAGAGCUCAAGUCUCAAGCCCCAGCUUGGUUUCUUACUGAAAAGGUGAAUUUGAUGAUUUAACCCUCCCUGAUCGUUAACCUCAGCCUCAGAAUACUAAU
This 749-nucleotide long non-coding RNA is filed under the name Homo sapiens (human). RNAcentral's name for it is "HSALNT0026342". The record is from RNAcentral. Lineage: Eukaryota; Metazoa; Chordata; Mammalia; Primates; Hominidae.